GAUGAACGCUGGCGGCGUGCCUAAUACAUGCAAGUCGAGCGAAGAGGGGACGGGUGAGUAACACGUGGAUAACCUCCUCUAAGACUGGGAUAACCUCUGGAAACCGGAGCUUAACCCGAUACUUAUAGAUGGAUCCGUGCUGCAUUAGCUAGUUGGUAAGUUAACGGCUUACCAAGGCAACGAUGCAUAGCCGGCCUGGAAGGGUGAUCGGCCACACUGGAACUGAGACACGUGCCAGACUCCUACGGGAGGCAGCAGUAGGGAAUCUUCCGCAAUGUGCGAAAGCCUGACGGGGCAACGCCGCGUGGGUGAUGAAGGUCUUCGGGUUUUAAAGCUCUGUUAAUCGGGACGCGGUACCGGAAUAGAAAGCCACGGCUAACUACGUGCCAGCAGCCGCGGUAAUUC
RNAcentral lists this ribosomal RNA (405 nucleotides) under uncultured bacterium. RNAcentral describes it as "partial 16S ribosomal RNA". It matches the Rfam family "Bacterial small subunit ribosomal RNA", at positions 28 to 526 of the family's 1533-position model. The record is from RNAcentral.